RNAcentral lists this ribosomal RNA (253 nucleotides) under uncultured bacterium. Its description in RNAcentral is "partial 16S ribosomal RNA". It matches the Rfam family "Bacterial small subunit ribosomal RNA", at positions 524 to 776 of the family's 1533-position model. The record is from RNAcentral.
UACGGAGGGGACUAGCGUUGUCCGGAUUUACUGGGCGUAAAGAGCGUGUAGGCGGCCAAACAGGUCCGUUGUGAAAACUGGAGGCUUAACCUCCAGACGUCGACGGAAACCGUAUGGCUAGAGUCCGGAAGAGGAGAGUGGAAUUCCUGGUGUAGCGGUGAAAUGCGCAGAUAUCGGGAAGAACACCCGUGGCGAAGGCGGCUCUCUGGGACGGUACUGACGCUGAGACGCGAAAGCGUGGGGAGCGAACAGG